UACGGAGGAUGCAAGCGUUAUCCGGAUUCAUUGGUUUAAAAGGUGCGCAGACGUUGGAGCAAGUCAGUGGUGAAAGCCCGGGGCUCAACUCCGGGAUUGCCAUUGAAACUGUUUUCACUUGAGUGCAGUCGAGGACGGCGGAAUGAGUUGUGUAGCGGUGAAAUGCAUAGAUAUAACUCAGAACACCGAUUGCGAAGGCAGCUGUCUAGGCUACAACUGACGCUGAGGCACGAAAGCGUGGGGAGCGAACAGGAUUAGAUACCCUGGUAGUCCACGCAGUAAACGAUGAUCACUCGUUGCUGGCUACGUAGUAGUCAGUGACUAAGGGAAACCAUUAAGUGAUCCACCUGGGGAGUACGUCGGCAACGAUGAAACUCAAAGGAAUUGACGGGGGCCCGCACAAGCGGAGGAACAUGUGGUUUAAUUCGAUGAUACGCGAGGAACCUUACCUGGGCUUAAAUGCAGGCUGCAUUUCCGCGAAAGCGGGAUUUCCUACGGGACUGCUUGCAAGGUGCUGCAUGGUUGUCGUCAGCUCGUGCCGUGAGGUGUCGGGUUAAGUCCCAUAACGAGCGCAACCCCUAUCGCUAGUUGCCAGCAUGUAAUGAUGGGGACUCUAGCGAGACUGCCGGUGUAAACCGGAGGAAGGUGGGGAUGACGUCAAAUCAGCACGGCCCUUACGUCCAGGGCUACACACGUGUUACAAUGGCCGGUACAAAGAGCAGCCACCUGGCGACAGGGUGCUAAUCUUGAAAGCCGGUCUCAGUUCGGAUCGAAGUCUGCAAUUCGACUUCGUGAAGGUGGAUUCGCUAGUAAUCGCGCAUCAGCCAUGGCGCGGUGAAUAAGUUCCCGGGCAUUGUACACACCGCCCGUCAAGCCAUGGAAGCCGGGGGUACCUGAAGUCUGUAACC
This 908-nucleotide ribosomal RNA is filed under the name uncultured organism. Its description in RNAcentral is "bacterial SSU rRNA". It matches the Rfam family "Bacterial small subunit ribosomal RNA", at positions 524 to 1435 of the family's 1533-position model. The record is from RNAcentral.